UAGGGAAUCUUCCGCAAUGGACGCAAGUCUGACGGAGCAACGCCGCGUGAGUGAAGAAGGAUUUCGGUUCGUAAAACUCUGUUGUUAGAGAAGAACAGCGCAUAGAGUAACUGUUAUGCGUGUGACGGUAUCUAACCAGAAAGCCACGGCUAACUACGUGCCAGCAGCCGCGGUAAUACGUAGGUGGCAAGCGUUGUCCGGAUUUAUUGGGCGUAAAGCGAGCGCAGGCGGUCAAUUAAGUCUGGUGUGAAAGCCCCCGGCUCAACCGGGGAGGGUCAUUGGAAACUGGUUGACUUGAGUGCAGAAGAGGAGAGUGGAAUUCCAUGUGUAGCGGUGAAAUGCGUAGAUAUAUGGAGGAACACCAGUGGCGAAGGCGACUCUCUGGUCUGUAACUGACGCUGAGGCUCGAAAGCGUGGGUAGCAAACAGG
RNAcentral lists this ribosomal RNA (429 nucleotides) under Bacteroidota bacterium. RNAcentral's name for it is "Bacteroidetes bacterium partial 16S ribosomal RNA". It matches the Rfam family "Bacterial small subunit ribosomal RNA", at positions 355 to 776 of the family's 1533-position model. Lineage: Bacteria; Pseudomonadati; Bacteroidota. The record is from RNAcentral.